GACGAACGCUGGCGGCGUGCUUAACACAUGCAAGUCGAACGAAGAGCGAUGGAAGCUUGCUUCUAUCAAUCUUAGUGGCGAACGGGUGAGUAACGCGUAAUCAACCUGCCCUUCAGAGGGGGACAACAGUUGGAAACGACUGCUAAUACCGCAUACGAUCCAAUCUCGGCAUCGAGACUGGAUGAAAGGUGGCCUCUAUUUAUAAGCUAUCACUGAAGGAGGGGAUUGCGUCUGAUUAGCUAGUUGGAGGGGUAACGGCCCACCAAGGCGAUGAUCAGUAGCCGGUCUGAGAGGAUGAACGGCCACAUUGGGACUGAGACACGGCCCAGACUCCUACGGGAGGCAGCAGUGGGGAAUCUUCCGCAAUGGACGAAAGUCUGACGGAGCAACGCCGCGUGAGUGAUGACGGCCUUCGGGUUGUAAAGCUCUGUUAAUCGGGACGAAUGGUUCUUGUGCGAAUAGUGCGAGGAUUUGACGGUACCGGAAUAGAAAGCCAC
This 497-nucleotide ribosomal RNA is filed under the name Veillonella atypica. RNAcentral's name for it is "bacterial SSU rRNA". It matches the Rfam family "Bacterial small subunit ribosomal RNA", at positions 28 to 494 of the family's 1533-position model. The record is from RNAcentral. Lineage: Bacteria; Bacillati; Bacillota; Negativicutes; Veillonellales; Veillonellaceae.